UACGAAGGGGGCUAGCGUUGCUCGGAAUCACUGGGCGUAAAGGGUGCGUAGGCGGGUCUUUAAGUCAGGGGUGAAAUCCUGGAGCUCAACUCCAGAACUGCCUUUGAUACUGAAGAUCUUGAGUUCGGGAGAGGUGAGUGGAACUGCGAGUGUAGAGGUGAAAUUCGUAGAUAUUCGCAAGAACACCAGUGGCGAAGGCGGCUCACUGGCCCGGUACUGACGCUGAGGCACGAAGGUCAGGGGAGCAAACGGG
This 253-nucleotide ribosomal RNA is filed under the name uncultured bacterium. RNAcentral's name for it is "partial 16S ribosomal RNA". It matches the Rfam family "Bacterial small subunit ribosomal RNA", at positions 524 to 776 of the family's 1533-position model. The record is from RNAcentral.